AUUGAACGCUGGCGGCAUGCUUUACACAUGCGAGUCGAACGGCAGCGCGGGCUUCGGCCUGGCGGCGAGUGGCGAACGGGUGAGUAAUACAUCGGAACGUGCCCAGUAGUGGGGGAUAGCUCGGCGAAAGCCGGAUUAAUACCGCAUACGACCUGAGGGUGAAAGCGGGGGAUCUUCGGACCUUGCGCUAUUGGAGCGGCCGAUGCCGGAUUAGCUAGUUGGUGGGGUAAAGGCCUACCAAGGCGACGAUCUGUAGCUGGUCUGAGAGGACGACCAGCCACACUGGAACUGAGACACGGCCCAGACUCCUACGGGAGGCAGCAGUGGGGAAUUUUGGACAAUGGGCGAAAGCCUGAUCCAGCAAUGCCGCGUGUGUGAUGAAGGCCUUCGGGUUGUAAAGCACUUUUGGCGGGAACGAAAAGGACUGUGCCAAUACCACGGUUCGAUGACGGUACCCGCAGAAUAAGCACCGGCUAACUACGUG
This 484-nucleotide ribosomal RNA is filed under the name uncultured bacterium. RNAcentral describes it as "partial 16S ribosomal RNA". It matches the Rfam family "Bacterial small subunit ribosomal RNA", at positions 29 to 507 of the family's 1533-position model. The record is from RNAcentral.